RNAcentral lists this ribosomal RNA (255 nucleotides) under uncultured bacterium. RNAcentral describes it as "partial 16S ribosomal RNA". It matches the Rfam family "Bacterial small subunit ribosomal RNA", at positions 334 to 604 of the family's 1533-position model. The record is from RNAcentral.
GAUACCUACGGGGGGCAGCAGUGGGGAAUAUUGGGCAAUGGGCGCAAGCCUGACCCAGCAACGCCGCGUGAAGGAAGAAGGCUUUCGGGUUGUAAACUUCUUUUCUCAGGGACGAAUAGAUGACGGUACCUGAGGAAUAAGCCACGGCUAACUACGUGCCAGCAGCCGCGGUAAUACGUAGGUGGCAAGCGUUAUCCGGAUUUACUGGGAGUAAAGGGCGGGUAGGCGGGGACGCAAGUCAGAUGUGAAAACCAC